RNAcentral lists this ribosomal RNA (357 nucleotides) under uncultured bacterium. Its description in RNAcentral is "bacterial SSU rRNA". It matches the Rfam family "Bacterial small subunit ribosomal RNA", at positions 71 to 422 of the family's 1533-position model. The record is from RNAcentral.
ACCAGGACUUCGGUCCUGGGGACAGCGGCGAACGGGUGAGUAACACGUGGAUAACCUGCCCUCGGCACCGGGAUAGCCCGAGGAAACUCGGAUUAAUACCGGAUAGCCCUUCCGACUCUCGAGUCGGUCCGAAAAGGUAGCUUCGGCCUCUGGCCGAGGAUGGGUCCGCGGCGGAUUAGCUUGUUGGUGGGGUAACGGCCUACCAAGGCUCCGAUCCGUAGCUGGUCUGAGAGGACGAUCAGCCACACUGGGACUGAGACACGGCCCAGACUCCUACGGGAGGCAGCAGUGGGGAAUCUUGCGCAAUGGGCGAAAGCCUGACGCAGCGACGCCGCGUGAGGGAAGAAGGCCUUCGGG